UCUGAUACGUCGCGUGGGAGAUCUAACGAAACCCGCUUUGAGGUCACAUGUGAGUGACCUCGUAGAUGUGUCUUUUUCGGCCAAUGAAAAUUUUUCGACGAUCUUGAAAGUUUAUCGUGAGGUAAAGGGAUGUAACUCAUUUUAUUUACGAAGAAAUCGUCAGUCCAAAAAAUGCAUAAACUUUUUUGAUUGGUUUAUUGAUAGGUCAUCAAAUCAUUUGCAUAUCAUUAUAAAUUUAUAACUUCC
RNAcentral lists this long non-coding RNA (246 nucleotides) under Mytilus galloprovincialis (Mediterranean mussel). Lineage: Eukaryota; Metazoa; Mollusca; Bivalvia; Mytilida; Mytilidae. The record is from RNAcentral.